Tripterygium wilfordii is the source of this 3165-nucleotide RNA transcript. It is a transcript of the gene named protein ROOT PRIMORDIUM DEFECTIVE 1, with no coding region annotated. The transcript has 4 exons. Lineage: Eukaryota; Viridiplantae; Streptophyta; Magnoliopsida; Celastrales; Celastraceae. The record is from RefSeq and is a predicted model, not a curated record.
AUUCCACACAAACCCAUUCCCUGUUCGUCACAACACGAAUACACAAAACUCUGAAACGGUGAAACCGAGCUAUAAGCCGCAGGGCAUAACCCUGUUCGACACAAACCCAGACUCUACUGUCAAAUACUUGUGCUUUCUACUUCUUCUCUCACUGUGUGAGAGUCUACUGGCUACCCUUGAGAAAUCUCACUGUUAUGGCUGUUAUCACAGUCAUCGGCAUGGAGUUGCUGCUUGACAAGCAGUCGCCGAGCCCAUGAGUGUUUGAUGGUGGUCGUCGAGAUUCUUCGAUCUCCUUGGCGCAGAGGAGCCUUUGAUGGUUUUUCUUCCCUGUUGUUUCUAAUAAGUCCACAAGAGAAGCAGAAGGCCUACGUGAGUAUUCGUAAUGAUGACCCACAUUGCCAAAUCCAAUUUGAAACACCCACAAGCUUUGUUUUCUACAUUUCGAUGCCAAUCAACGUCUGCGCAGUACGUAGCAUCAAGAGCCAGAGAUCCCACGUUUGAGAAACUAAUGCACAAGUUCAAGAACUUCCUCAAAGUGAUUGCUGUUCAGGACCUUAUCCUCGCAAACCCAAACAAGAACCCUCCUUCUGUCUCCCUUGAUUUUCUCAACAGGCUCUCUCAGAAGCUACACCUCAACCGUGGUGCCACAUCCUUCCUCCGCAAGUACCCUCACAUCUUCCAAAUCUGCUACAACCCCACCAAGGCCCAGCCGUUCUGCAAGCUAACAGAUAUGGCAAUUCAAAUCUCCCGCCAAGAAGCGGAAGCAAUAAAUGCUUCCUUACCAGUUGUCAUUGACCGGCUGGUUAGGCUACUAUCCAUGUCUGCAUCUAGAUCAUUGCCUCUGCGUGCAAUUUUUAAGAUUUGGAGGGAGCUUGGACUCCCUGAUGACUUUGAGGACUCGGUUAUAUCCAGUCAUUCUGAUCUCUUCAGGCUUUCUCCUGGAAAUGAACCAAAUACCCAUGUGCUUGAACUGGUGAAAGAAUUUUCUUCUAACCAUUUUACAGCCGCUGUUGAGAAUUGGAGGGUUUUGGAGUGUUGUAGGGAGGAUUGCAGUGUUGAGAGAACAGAAAUUCAGUUUAGUUUUAAGCAUCUGUAUCCUCCAGGGAUGAGAUUAAGCCAGAACUUUAAAGCCAAAGUCAAGGAAUGGCAAAGGAUACCCUAUGUGGGGCCAUAUGAAGAUGUAGGAAAAACGAAAAAUACUAAAGCAGGAAAGGUGGGAUUGGAGAAACGGGCAGUUGCAACUGUUCAUGAAUUCUUGAGUUUGACAGUGGAGAAGAUGGUGGAGGUGGAGAAGAUCAGUCAUUUCCGGAAAUGUUUUGGGAUUGAUUUGAAUAUAAGAGACUUGUUUUUGGACCAUCCAGGAAUAUUUUACUUGUCAACCAAGGGGAAGAGACAUACAGUUUUUCUGAGAGAAGCUUAUGAGAGAGGAUGUUUGAUUGAUCCUAAUCCUGUGUAUGAUACAAGGAGAAAGCUUCUUGAUCUUGUCAUUCUGGGACGCCACGACUUGAUUGCCUGUGAUUCAAAGUUAGCAGGCAAUGCCGGGACUGAGGAAGAUAGUUCGCAAGAUGAUAAUACCGAAUGAAGGGUUUGGAGAUGGAACUGGCAUCUGAGAACACCCAAACCUCAAAUGAAUUCCUCCUAUUCACUGAAUCACUGGAGGCAACUUCGGGAGCUGAUUGCCAGUUCUGUAUCAAGCGGAAACUGCGGGAACCAUUUGUUUGGUUCUGAUGAGUCCCGUAAGUAUGCUUAUAAGGCGUAAGGCAGUGAGGGAUGUGUCUCUCAUAGUUCCGGCUUUCCUUAUGUUUGGUUGCGGGAAAAUGUGGCAGAAUUAGAGGAAGUUUUUCCCCCUAGUGGUUUGAACAUUUUUCUUGACAAAGAGAUACCCUUUUGAAUGAUUAUCAAACUUGGGAAAGAAAUGAUGUCUCGGUCAUUCUCGGAUUUGUUGGCAUGUGAAGUUGAUGAUUUUCUUUACUAUGGCAGAUGCUUUCUAGUGGAUUGUACAUGGUUGGUUUGGUCAAGCAUCGUUUUUUGUACGACUAAACCUCAGAACUUGCAUUCUUUAUUCAUCUGAUCAUCUUUGGUCACGUAUGGUUGAUUCACCUUGCUGUUCUACUUCAAAUGAGUAAUUACUGCAGCUUGGUUUAGUAAAGGUUGAAAUUUUUUCAUAGAUUUGAUUAUCACCAGAAUGAUUGGGAAAUCUUGAAUAGUGAAAAUACUUCUCAUGCUUAUGUUGUUAGAAUUUUUGUUUCUGCUUUAUGAGUUUUUUCUUUUUCUUUUCUUCCUUUUUUAUAAUGUGUGAAAGACAUGCAAUUGCCAACUGGAUUGGGUUGGUGCUUGCUGGAAUGAAAGCAAAGAUUCACGCAUUACACUUAUGGGGGUUUUUUUUUUUUGUGAACUUUUCUUUUAAUAUCUGUUACCCUCUCUUCUGUCGGGAAAAAAGUCUCUCUAAUUUUGUUCUUCAUGUGUAUACAUAUUUUCGCGACUUAUGCACUUAAGUUUUUUAUCUUUUUCUUUGAGUGCAAAGAAAUUUUAUGCAGGGGCACAAAGAGAGUGCCACUCAAAGAAAGAGUGCAAGGAAGAACAAGAACAGAAAAGUAAAAAACAACUGAAAGGAAAACAAGGCCCGUCAAGUUUUGAUCAUGGAGAGCCAAGAUUAAUGUUAUUAUUAAUAACAUUGUUAUGCUUGCAGAUUAAGAUAUGAAUUUAUGAUUCUUUUGGAUGCCAAAUGGCAAUUGCGAAUUACAUUCAUUUCAAAUUUUUACCUCAGUACAUUCGAUUUGAUCUGUGUUCUAUUUAAGGCCUGACUAAGUACUGAUCAUUGCAGAUAAGCGCUUAGUUGUUGCAUGUUAUUGAUAAUUUUGUGUUUUGCCUUGCCAUGGAUUUACCAUAUGUUAUAUGGACUUUGAUGCUCUUAUUUCCAUUUUCAAUGACUAGUCUAAUUAUGAACUCUGAUCUGAUAAUGUUUGGUUGUCUAGUAUGUGCUAUAUGCCGAAGGGUGUCAACCUGCUGAAGGUAUUGCAAUUUACAAGUCAGCACCUAAGCCUGCUCUUGAGCCCUUCGCUGAUGUACAAAGAAAAUCUCAAUGACCAAACUGGAAGGGUUGAUUGCCCUACAGCAACGGUCAUCUGAAUUGAGUAUGGCAUCAUCUAUUACACAUUUUCACUU